This 248-nucleotide ribosomal RNA is filed under the name uncultured bacterium. RNAcentral's name for it is "partial 16S ribosomal RNA". It matches the Rfam family "Bacterial small subunit ribosomal RNA", at positions 796 to 1041 of the family's 1533-position model. The record is from RNAcentral. RNAcentral also lists the same sequence under 1 other name.
CACGCCGUAAACGAUGGGGACUAGGUGCUUGGGGGAGCGACCCCCCGAGUGCCGGCGCUAACGCAUUAAGUCCCCCGCCUGGGGAGUACGGCCGCAAGGCUGAAACUCAAAGGAAUUGACGGGGGCCCGCACAAGCGGUGGAGCAUGUGGUUUAAUUCGACGCAACGCGAAGAACCUUACCCAGGCUUGACAUGGAUGAGAAAGCCUCUGGAAACAGGGGCCCCUCUUCGGAGUUCAUUCACAGGUGC